Molecule: ribosomal RNA, 506 nt
Filed under: uncultured bacterium
Lineage: Bacteria
Description: partial 16S ribosomal RNA
Rfam family: Bacterial small subunit ribosomal RNA
Source: RNAcentral
AUUGAACGCUGGCGGCAGGCUUAACACAUGCAAGUCGAGCGGUAACAGAGAGAAGCUUGCUUCUCUGCUGACGAGCGGCGGACGGGUGAGUAAUGCCUAGGAAUCUGCCUAGUAGUGGGGGAUAACUUGUCGAAAGGUAAGCUAAUACCGCAUACGUCCUACGGGAGAAAGGAGGGGACCUUCGGGCCUUUCGCUAUUAGAUGAGCCUAGGUCGGAUUAGUUAGUUGGUGAGGUAAUGGCUCACCAAGACCGCGAUCCGUAACUGGUCUGAGAGGAUGAUCAGUCACACUGGAACUGAGGCACGGUCCAGACUCCUACGGGAGGCAGCAGUGGGGAAUAUUGGACAAUGGGGGGAACCCUGAUCCAGCCAUGCCGCGUGUGUGAAGAAGGUCUUAGGAUUGUAAAGCACUUUAAGUUGGGAGGAAGAGCAGUUAACUAAUAUUUGACUGUUUUGACGUUACCGACAGAAUAAGCACCGGCUAACUUCGUGCCAGCCGCCGCAGUAA